AAAGAACAGGGACGGCUCUCAAAGUCGCCUCCACGGAAACAGAGUGUACUACCACAACGUUCCUGGUCUUUCCAGAAGGACGGAGUGCCCAUAGAAGUGAAUAAUCCCAGGUCUACAGCACCACUGUACAGCUAACACUGCAGACUUGCUUAUUUAGGUUUCCAGGGAGCACCUGAGCAGAUCUUUCAGUAUUCGCUGCACAUCUCCUGCCUGAAACUCAAGUGCAAUGGAUGGCUCUUUCUACAGCCAUCACGAUGGGCGUUCUAACCUCACUGAACCGAUGGACACACAGGUUAUAGGUGUGAGCAUUUACUACAUAGUUUCGUUAGUCUUGUUUUGUGGAAGCUUCCUCUGUGGUUUGCCUCUCAACUGUGUGGCACUGAGACUGCUGUGGAACGAGAGGGCCUCAUCUGCUGUUCCUGUUACCUUCCCAUUAAACCUCACUGUACUAAACAUCCUGCUCACCAUCACACUCCCUUAUUACAUCUACAUUAGCUACAGUGCUUUCAGUAGCUCACCUUUCAUAUUGUACUUUGUGAUAAUCUACAUGUACAUAAUCACCAAUGACAUGUUCACCAGCUGUAUCUGCCUCAGCAAGGUUUUUUUCGUAGUCCGUCCUUUGGGGAACUU
This is a long non-coding RNA of Acipenser ruthenus (sterlet), 630 nucleotides long. RefSeq lists it as uncharacterized. The record is from RefSeq and is a predicted model, not a curated record. Lineage: Eukaryota; Metazoa; Chordata; Actinopteri; Acipenseriformes; Acipenseridae. The transcript is spliced from 3 exons.